Molecule: long non-coding RNA, 450 nt
Organism: Epinephelus lanceolatus (giant grouper)
Lineage: Eukaryota; Metazoa; Chordata; Actinopteri; Perciformes; Serranidae
Source: RefSeq, a predicted model, not a curated record
GAGGAAGAUGAAGGAAGAAGAGGCUUGGAGAAGGUUGGUGCAGAACGAAGUAGCAGCACGCUGGACGUCUUCAGGGAAAUGCUUGAGACAGGAACAUUUAAAUUUCGUGUACCAGUAUUAAGAAGUGCGCAUUUGUGCAUAUUAAAUAAGUUUAGUCUGUAUAUGUAGCUAGCUAGGUCGCUCUUCUGUUUUUAGUAUGAUUCUGAAACGAGGUUUCGUCCAGUAACGUUAGCUGAAGUUGUAUCUCUGCACAUGGAGGUCCAUGUCCGGUAAUUAGAUCAUCUGAAGAAAAGGGACUCCUCAGAUGGACCUCAGAUGCAUGGUCGACCUGCUGAGGUGAAAGCGAGUUCAGGUGAUUCUUGACACAACUACUUCUACAAAGUGCACCUGACUGGUUUGUUUUGGCUUCUAUUUAAGUUAUUCAUCAUCAAAUAAAUACAAAUUGUGAAG